This 433-nucleotide ribosomal RNA is filed under the name uncultured bacterium. RNAcentral's name for it is "partial 16S ribosomal RNA". It matches the Rfam family "Bacterial small subunit ribosomal RNA", at positions 29 to 507 of the family's 1533-position model. The record is from RNAcentral.
AACGAACGCUGGCGGCAUGCCUAACACAUGCAAGUCGAACGAGACCUUCGGGUCUUGUGGCGCACGGGUGCGUAACGCGUGGGAACCUUCCCUUAGGUUCGGAAUAACUCCCCGAAAGGGGUGCUAAUACCGGAUAAUGUCUUCGGACCAAAGAUUUAUCGCCUUUGGAUGGGCCCGCGUUGGAUUAGCUAGUUGGUAGGGUAAAAGCCUACCAAGGCGACGAUCCAUAGCUGGUCUGAGAGGAUGAUCAGCCACACUGGGACUGAGACACGGCCCAGACUCCUACGGGAGGCAGCAGUGGGGAAUAGUGGACAAUGGGCGAAAGCCUGAUCCAGCAAUGCCGCGUGAGUGAUGAAGGCCUUAGGGUUGUAAAGCUCUUUUACCCGGGAUGAUAAUGACAGUACCGGGAGAAUAAGCGCCGGCUAACUCCGUG